GUGUUCGCUUCGGCUUAGUUCACAUAAACUAAAGUGGGAACAAUACAGAGAAGAUUAGCAUGGCCCCUGCAAAAGGUUAACAGGCAAAUUCAUGAAGUGUUCCAUAUUUAA
Molecule: small nuclear RNA, 111 nt
Organism: Erinaceus europaeus (western European hedgehog)
Lineage: Eukaryota; Metazoa; Chordata; Mammalia; Eulipotyphla; Erinaceidae
Source: Ensembl